UACAGAGGUCUCAAGCGUUUGUUCGGAUUCAUUGGGCGUAAAGGGUGCGUAGGUGGCGCGCUAAGUCAGGUGUGAAAUUUCGGAGCUUAACUCCGAAACUGCAUUUGAUACUGGCGUGCUCGAGGACUGGAGAGGAGACUGGAAUUCACGGUGUAGCAGUGAAAUGCGUAGAUAUCGUGAGGAAGACCAGUGGCGAAGGCGGGUCUCUGGACAGUUCCUGACACUGAGGCACGAAGGCCAGGGGAGCAAACGGG
This 254-nucleotide ribosomal RNA is filed under the name uncultured bacterium. Its description in RNAcentral is "partial 16S ribosomal RNA". It matches the Rfam family "Bacterial small subunit ribosomal RNA", at positions 524 to 776 of the family's 1533-position model. The record is from RNAcentral.